GGCGUGUGCCACCACACCCUGCUAAUUUUAUAUUUUUGUAUUUUUAGUAGAGACGGGGUUUCACCCUGUUGGCCAGGCUGGUCUCCUGACCUCAGGUGAUCCACCAGCUUUGGCCUCCCAAAGUGCUGGUAUUAUAGGUGUGGGCCACCGUUCCUGAACUAGUCCAGGUAAUUCUCAUAAUUUUAUUAGUUAGAUAGCAUUAAUACAGGUGUCAAAAAUGUCAGAAUUAUUUCUUUUAAGAAAAAAGUGUUGUGAAGGUUUCUUUAUUUUCUUUUCUUAUACAUUAGGCAUUAACAGUGAUUUCCUGUGUAAUUUGGGAAUGUUUAUUGACAGUAAUGUGUAUUACGGGAAGAUAAAUUCUAUUUUUUCAUGAAAUGGCUGUCGUAGAAUUAUAAUUAUUAUUAUUUUGUUGUUGUUGUUGUUUUGAGACAGAGUCUUGCUCUGUCGUCCAGGCUGGAGUGCAGUGGCACAACCUCGACUCACUGCAGCCUCCGCCUCCUGGGUUCAAGCAAUUCUCCCACCUCAGCCUCCCUGAGUAGCUGGGGUUACAGCCUCGCAUGAGCACGCCUGGUUAAUUUUUGCAUCUUUAGUAGAGACGGGGUUUCGGCAAGUUGGCCAUGCUGAUCUCUAACUCCUGGCCUCAAGUGAGCCACCCGCCUUGGCGUCCUAAAGUGCUGGGAUUACAGGUGUGUGCCACCUCACCCACCCAUCAAGGAAUCAUUAAAAAGAAGGAAUCUAAGACUAUUUUAAAAAUUUCUCUCAAUGAUUUAAUAUUUGGGUUUUAUGUAUUUUAUUCCAUUUUAGCACUGUGAGAUAGCAUGAUUGCCUAAAGGACUGUAUUAAAGAUGAGUGCACAGUUCUGUCUUAUUUAUCUGCUGUCACAUUGUUUUGACACAGAAGAAAGUCAAGUAACAUUGAUGAAGAGCUAAAAUAUGCUCUAACUGUGGAAAAAAUAAAUAUAAAUUGUCCAUAGUUGCUCAAUUUCUAAAGUAAAAGGAAAAAAUACAGUGUAAGACUGUGAAUUAGUUCAGGAAGGUAAACUUAAGUAAUGUUUAUUUAACUUCAAGAUUUCAGUGGCUUAACUCAACAAAGGUCUGCUUCUUCUGCAUGUCACGGGACAAUGCUGGUUGGUAUGGAUGGCUCUUCUCCAUGCAGUAAUUCAGAGACACAGGCUUCUUUCAUCUAGUGAUUUAUUUUUCCCUGCAGCUUCAGAUACUCUUUUUCCCUCUCUCUGGGAUCCUUUGCAUCUGUCUGGCAGAUAUGGAGACGGAAAGCACAAGAGGAUUGUGUUAGGAGUCUUAAGGGCUGGAUGUGACACUCCUUGAAAGGGAAGCUGGGGAAUGAGUAUGUAGGUGUGUGUCCAGGAUGUAGGGAAAAUGGGUUUGGUGGGGACAGCACUUCCUGGAAUAACGUUGCUUUGGAUUUAACAACAGUUGGGCAAAGGAGGUCGGUAUACAGAUACAGGACAAGAAGAGUGGUGUCAAAGGGAGGCUAAAUCAUUGGUUCUGGCUUCAUCUAAGGAAUUCUUAUGAGAAAUCGAGGGAGAGACUGUCCUGGGAAGUCUGAUGAAACAUGCAUGCCGGUAAGGACUCUGCCACAAAUUUUCAGCCACCUAAUAGUAUUAUCUUGUGAAGAUCAUGAAGAGUUUAAAAAAAAAAGAAAAAAAAGAAACCAAAGAAAUAUGACAGUGCCAUGACCCUUGUAUUAAUUUGAUCAGCUAAAAACAAGAAAAGUGUGUUUUUGAAGUUUAUUUAUGCUGAUACCUGUAAUGAAAACUCAAGGAUAUUAUUACAGAGAUUUCCUCUUCUUAGGAGGUACUUACUCAACAAUAUGCUAAAUGCUAUAUUAAAGUGGGUUACAUAAUUUAGAAUUUAGAGAACUCUGAUUAUUAUGAAAGGCAUUGCAUUUCAGUGUGUUCUUUCCUCUGAGAUUUAAAACACCAAGCACUUCUCUUUCAAAAUAAGAUAAAAAGAAAACAAGGUAAUCAAAAAUGGAAAGUAUAAAAAUGGAAAAUGAGAUUGCAUAUCUUGAUUAAAAAUCAAUCAAUAAAAAACCUUAUUAUACUUCCAAACUAAAUUUAUAAGUCUUUUUGAAAAACAGCAAAUAUUGGAUAAUAGAUCCUCUGACUCUAGAUAUUGCACCUGCUUUAAAUUAGAUUAUCUUUUGAGAAGUGACCUUGAAAAACAAUGAUUAAGUGGGUAAGUUUGACUUUUUAGACUAUUAGACGUGACUGUAUUCUCCCUCAAAAACCUUUAUAAGGCAGAAAUAUAUAUGGCAUCUGAUUCUCUUUUCUUUAGAUGGAGUUUACGAUUUUUGAAGUUUGGCUUUGACAACAAAUGACAAUGAAAUCAUGGCUAUUUGAUAUUUAGUUACAAUUCAUCCAAUAUUUAUUGAGCACUUUCUGUCUUCUGUUUUGAUACAGGAAGGUUAUAAAAAGUAUAAGACACCACUUAUUUCCUCUGGGAUCUUAAAAUCUAAUUAUGGAAAGAAGCUAUGUGGGAAAAAAUAAUGGAGAUUUUGACAAAAGAUCAAGACAAGAAUUAAAGAGACAUCACAUGUCUAUGUAUGAUUAGUUAACAAAUUCAUUUUCAGACAACAACUAUGCUUGGAAGUUCAGGAAUGAGACUGGACUCUUCUUUGUUCAUUUCUUACUUUUCUCCUAUUGACCUCUCACAUGCUGACAUCUCCAUUGUCUUCUCUUCCUAUGCUUUGUGGCUUUGUUAUUAAAUUAAGUGUUAAUUUUUUUUUUUUUCUUAGACGGAGUCUUGCUCUGUCUCCCAGGCUACAGUACAAUGGUGCAAUCUCGGCUCACUGCAACCUCUGCUUCCCAGGUUCAAGCGAUUCUCGUGCCUCAACCUCCCGAGUAGCUGGGAUUACAGGCGCCUGCCACCGCGCCUAGCUAAUUUUUGUAUUUUUCAGUAGAGACGGCGUUUCACCAUGUAGGCCAGGCUGGUCUUGAACUCCUGACCUCAAGUGAUCCACACCGCCUCAGCCUCCCAAAGUGCUGGGAUUACAGGCCUGAGCCACCACGCCCAGCCUAAUUUUUAUUAAAAUAAUGCAUGGACCUAUUUUUAAAAAGCAAAUUAUACUGGAAGCUUGUUAAUACAAGAGGCAGCCCUUCCCUGCAGUCUGGUGUCUGAUGUCCCAGAAGUAACCCCUUUUAACUUCUGGUAUUUCCUUCCAUAAGUGUAAGUAUUUCUUGAUGUAUUGUUUUUAGGUUUUAUCCGCUAACUCUCUACUAUAGAAGAUGAGGAUUUGGCUUUCUUUUAUCAUCCCUCACCCCUACACAUUUCCUCUCCUGACACACUCUUCUACUCUCCUGAAAUAGUUUUGUGACAUAUUUGGUUAAACCCAUAUUCAGUACUGUGGUUAUUGCAACUUUGCAUAUUGCGCUUUCAUUUCCUUUGUCAUGUAACUGUUUGUUUUUUUUUUCAUAAGAUGUCCAUCUGUCUCUCUCUUUUUAUUUGGGUGUCUUUGUUUGAACAAACCUCUUGCUAAGUUUUCUACAUGCUCCAAUGUUCUUUAAAACACCUCUCAAGGCCAGGAGCGGUGGCUCACACCUAUAAUCCCAGAACUUUGGUAGGCCUAGGCAGGUGGAUCGCCUGAGGUCAAGAGUUCGAGACCAGCCUGGCCAACAUGGUGAAACCCCAUCUCUACUAAAAAUACAAAAAUUAGCCAGGUAUGGUGUUGGCACCUGUAAUCCCAGCUACUUGGGAGGCUGAG
RNAcentral lists this long non-coding RNA (3723 nucleotides) under Homo sapiens (human). RNAcentral's name for it is "HSALNT0378199". Lineage: Eukaryota; Metazoa; Chordata; Mammalia; Primates; Hominidae. The record is from RNAcentral.